GUCCAUCCACCUGGACUGCUCCUUGCACAUUCCUUCUCCUCCGGUCACAUGGCAAUGACACCUGCAACAAGCUGUUACGUCACCUCCCCAGGAACAGAGGUGAGGCCAACCUACCUCCAAGUUGCACACGCCAUCCUCCACACCCUUUCUGAAGGCUGCGGUGGCAUCCGCCAUCCUCCAGUCUUCAGGUACCUUUCCCACAGGAAACAGCAGGGAAAAUGACAGAGAGCGCCAUUUGCCGGUCACCGCUGCCAGCUCUCAGCGGGCACAGGCAUAGCCCUCUACAGCUCAGGCAUUUGCUGGCCUCCUUUCUGCCUGAACCACUUUUGACCAGCUCCUCUGCAACUGAGGGGAAGGCAGCCUUCCUCUGAGACUCUCUCCUCCAGGACCCCAGGAGCACUCUCAGCAGAAACCACUGAAACCAAAACAGGCAUCCAGCAUGUCCUCCAUCCUCCAUUACUCAGGCCCUUGCCUUGUGAAGCACAGGCCUGCAAUUUCUCCAGUCUCUCCUGUUGACAAACUUCCAUUAGCCUUGACCUCCCUCCCAAAGCUGAUACUCAGAGGGACUUGGCCUUCCUCAGCCUCUCUCUUCCUUCUCCCCUUCAAGUUCCUCAGUCAGCCCUGCAGGUCCCCCACCAUUCCUGCGCACUUCCUUCCUCCUUGGGACGCAGCGCACCUCAGCAUGGACAAAGUAAUGCUCCAGCAUUCACAGGACCCCUUCCUAUGCUUGAGCAAGGGUUACCUCCAAGUAGGCCCUUCAAGAGGACAAACCUGGCUCCCUCUAAGUCCAGUGUUUCAAUCCUACUCAUUGCUUUGCAGCUUCCACACAAGAUCCCAAACGCUGUGGUCUCACGACUGGCACGCUCCAGGCUGCCCCUGGCCUUCCUGUCCCCAGAUGGCUCUUCUGCAAUAGGGAGCUCCUCAAUGCCUCCUUCGUCACCUGUGUCAGAAGAUCUUACCUUUGACACAUUGCAGGAAACUCCUGGAGCCUACCAUGAGAACUAGCCUCACAGCUG
Molecule: long non-coding RNA, 1016 nt
Filed under: Gallus gallus (chicken)
Lineage: Eukaryota; Metazoa; Chordata; Aves; Galliformes; Phasianidae
Description: lncRNA (ENSGALG00010023315.1)
Source: RNAcentral